Molecule: ribosomal RNA, 468 nt
Filed under: uncultured bacterium
Lineage: Bacteria
Description: partial 16S ribosomal RNA
Rfam family: Bacterial small subunit ribosomal RNA
Source: RNAcentral
GACGAACGCUGGCGGCGUGCUUAACACAUGCAAGUCGAACGGAAAGGCCCGGCUUUUGUGGGGUUCUCGAGUGGCGAACGGGUGAGUAACACGUGAGUACCCUUCCCGUGACUUUGGGAUGACUUCCGGAAACUGGGGCUAUAACGCGAUAGGAGCUCGUGCGGCAUGGUGGGGGUUGGAAAGUUUCGGCGGUUGGGUUUGGAUUCGCGGCUUAUCAGCUUGGUGGUGGGGUAGUGGCAUACCAAGGCUUUGACGGGUAGCCGGCAUGAGAGGGUGACCGGCCACAUUGGGACUGCGAUACGGCCCAGACUCCUACGGGAGGCAGCAGUGGGGAAUAUUGCACAAUGGGCGGAAGCCUGAUGCAGAAACGCCGCGUGCGGGAUGAAGGCCUUCGGGUUGUAAAACGCUUUCGCCUGUGACGAAGCGGGAGUGACGGUAAUAGGUAAAGAAGCACCGGCUAACUACGUG